RNAcentral lists this ribosomal RNA (762 nucleotides) under uncultured fungus. Its description in RNAcentral is "eukaryotic LSU rRNA". It matches the Rfam family "Eukaryotic large subunit ribosomal RNA", at positions 30 to 821 of the family's 3401-position model. Lineage: Eukaryota; Fungi. The record is from RNAcentral.
GAACUUAAGCAUAUCAAUAAGCGGAGGAAAAGAAACCAACAGGGAUUGCCUCAGUAACGGCGAGUGAAGCGGCAACAGCUCAAAUUUGAAAUCUGGCCGCAAGGUCCGAGUUGUAAUUUGUAGAGGAUGCUUUUGGCGAGGUGCCUUCCGAGUUCCCUGGAACGGGACGCCAUAGAGGGUGAGAGCCCCGUACGGUAGGACCACCAAGCCUCUGUAAAGCUCCUUCGACGAGUCGAGUAGUUUGGGAAUGCUGCUCUAAAUGGGAGGUGUACGUCUUCUAAAGCUAAAUACCGGCCAGAGACCGAUAGCGCACAAGUAGAGUGAUCGAAAGAUGAAAAGCACUUUGAAAAGAGGGUUAAAAAGUACGUGAAAUUGUUGAAAGGGAGGCAUUCAUGACCAGACUUGGGCUUGGUUGAACAUCCGGCGUUCUCGCCGGUGCACUCUGCCAGUCCAGGCCAGCAUCAGUUUGCCCCGGGGGAUAAAGGCGGCGGGAAUGUGGCUCCCUUCGGGGAGUGUUAUAGCCCGUCGUGUAAUGCCCUGGGGCGGACUGAGGAACGCGCUUCGGCACGGAUGCUGGCGUAAUGGUCAUCAAUGACCCGUCUUGAAACACGGACCAAGGAGUCGUCUUCGUAUGCGAGUGUUCGGGUGUCAAACCCCUACGCGUAAUGAAAGUGAACGUAGGUGAGAGCUUCGGCGCAUCACCGACCGAUCCUGAUGUUCUCGGAUGGAUUUGAGUAAGAGCAUACGGGGCCGGACCCGAAA